Molecule: long non-coding RNA, 646 nt
Organism: Pleuronectes platessa (European plaice)
Lineage: Eukaryota; Metazoa; Chordata; Actinopteri; Pleuronectiformes; Pleuronectidae
Exons: 3
Source: RefSeq, a predicted model, not a curated record
UAAAGAUCCAAGAUGGCUGUUUAUUUAUUUCUGCUGCAGCAGAGGAGCAGCUCGUGUCAGGAGCUGAUUAUAAAUUAAAAUAAGAUGGUUUCUCUGGAUUGACUCGUGUGUCUGACUCGCUGUGAUGGUGUUCGAGCUCCUGAGCAGGCUGCAGUACUUUCAGCAACCAGUCGGGGGCGACCCUGCAUCACGUCAGUCAGACUGGAAAAAGGCAGAGUCUCCACGGCAGAUCCCAGUUCAGCCCAACAAUAAUCCUGUGUAGCGGCUCAUGGUGCCAGUUUGAAGGGCACUGGGAGCAGAGCGUUGUCUUUCAUCAGCUACAACCUCAACACCUCCUCGACUGUCAUGGAGAAAAGAGAAGAAGAAGAAAUAGAAGAAGAAGAAGAAGAAGAAACGACCCGGGCCUUCUCCUCGCAAUCCCUCAUUCGUUGAUGCUCCUCCUCUCCCGGAUCAUCAGCUUCUUCAUCUUCAUCCGCCUGUUCUGGAACCAGAUCUUGACCUGCCGCUCUGUGAGGUUUAAGAGUCCCGCCACCUCCAGGCGCCGGUCCCGGGUCAGGUACAUGUUGUAGAGGAACUCCUUCUCCAGCUCCAGGGUCUGGUGCUUGGUGUAGGGACAGCGCUUCUUCCGGGUCGACUUGGCGUGGAU